AAAGGAAUAGACGGGGGCCCGCACAAGCGGAGGAACAUGUGGUUUAAUUCGAUGAUACGCGAGGAACCUUACCCGGGCUUGAACUGCCAGUGAACGAUUCAGAGAUGAUGAGGCCCUUCGGGGCGCUGGUGGAGGUGCUGCAUGGUUGUCGUCAGCUCGUGCCGUGAGGUGUCGGCUUAAGUGCCAUAACGAGCGCAACCCCUUUCUUCAGUUGCCAUCAGGUGAUGCUGGGCACUCUGUAGAUACUGCCACCGUAAGGUGUGAGGAAGGUGGGGAUGACGUCAAAUCAGCACGGCCCUUACGUCCGGGGCUACACACGUGUUACAAUGGGGCAUACAGCGAGUCGGUCGUACGCAAGUGCGAUCCAAUCCUUAAAGUGCCUCCCAGUUCGGACUGGGGUCUGCAACCCGACCCCACGAAGCUGGAUUCGCUAGUAAUCGCGCAUCAGCCAUGGCGCGGUGAAUACGUUCCCGGGCCUUGUACACACCGCCCGU
RNAcentral lists this ribosomal RNA (494 nucleotides) under uncultured bacterium. RNAcentral describes it as "bacterial SSU rRNA". It matches the Rfam family "Bacterial small subunit ribosomal RNA", at positions 903 to 1397 of the family's 1533-position model. The record is from RNAcentral.